RNAcentral lists this ribosomal RNA (791 nucleotides) under uncultured Alteromonas sp. RNAcentral describes it as "bacterial SSU rRNA". It matches the Rfam family "Bacterial small subunit ribosomal RNA", at positions 56 to 845 of the family's 1533-position model. The record is from RNAcentral. Lineage: Bacteria; Pseudomonadati; Pseudomonadota; Gammaproteobacteria; Alteromonadales; Alteromonadaceae.
UGCAGUCGAACGGUAGCAGGAAGUGCUUGCACUUUGCUGACGAGUGGCGGACGGGUGAGUAAUGCUUGGGAACUUGCCUUUAGGUGGGGGAUAACAGUUGGAAACGACUGCUAAUACCGCAUAAUGUCUACGGACCAAAGGGGGCUUCGGCUCCCGCCUUGAGAGAGGCCCAAGUGAGAUUAGCUAGUUGGUGGGGUAAAGGCCUACCAAGGCAACGAUCUCUAGCUGUUCUGAGAGGAAGAUCAGCCACACUGGGACUGAGACACGGCCCAGACUCCUACGGGAGGCAGCAGUGGGGAAUAUUGCACAAUAGGGGAAACCCUGAUGCAGCCAUGCCGCGUGUGUGAAGAAGGCCUUCGGGUUGUAAAGCACUUUCAGUUGUGAGGAAAGGUUGGUAGUUAAUACCUGCCAGCUGUGACGUUAACAACAGAAGAAGCACCGGCUAACUCCGUGCCAGCAGCCGCGGUAAUACGGAGGGUGCGAGCGUUAAUCGGAAUUACUGGGCGUAAAGCGCACGCAGGCGGCUUGUUAAGCUAGAGGUGAAAGCCCCGCGCUCAACGUGGGAACUGCCUUUAGAACUGGCAGGCUAGAGUCUUGGAGAGGGGAGUGGAAUUCCAGGUGUAGCGGUGAAAUGCGUAGAUAUCUGGAGGAACAUCAGUGGCGAAGGCGGCUCCCUGGCCAAAGACUGACGCUCAUGCGCGAAAGUGUGGGUAGCGAACAGGAUUAGAUACCCUGGUAGUCCACACCGUAAACGCUGUCUACUAGCUGUUUGUGUAUUUAAUACGUGAGUA